CGGACUUCCGGGGUCGCGGAACGCCCGCGCCCGCGUGGGACCCGCACCGCCGGACAGCGCCUCCUCGCCCCUCGCGGGCGCCAGUGCAAUCGCCGCCCGUGGAGCUGCGCGGGCACCAGGCUGCCGGCUGUCACCGGGCGGACGGCUCCGCGGGGCUCCCGCCGCUCUGGGGCGCCACCGCCGAGGCGCAGCGCUGACCCCGCGCCCUCCCUGCCGCCGAACUUCCCGAAAGUCCGCCGAGAGCCCCGCGCCGGGAGCGCCAGGACGGAAGUGAGGAGCGGGCCGCGCCGCCCUUUGUUACCGCCGGGGACCCGCGCCCGCCCGCAGCCCCCGAAGGCCCGGGGACGUCCGCCCUCCCGCGGCGCCUCCCACCCGGCCGAGGCCGACCCCGCCUCCGGCUGGCCGGCGCGCGGCCAGAGCGAGUGAGGGGUCCAGCGGCCCGGCCAGCGGCGGAUCCACCCUAGGCCACCGCGCCCCGCCAGCCCUCCUCACCUUCCCGGGCUUCCCGCGCCCCGACCGGCCGCUCCCCCGGCCCGCGGCUCAGCGACCAGCUCCGCCGCGCGCGGCCCCUCGGCGCCUCUCCCCGCGGGCCGCCGGCCGGGCCCGGGAGGCUCACUUCGCCCUCACCUGGGGCGCGCACGGGUCCCCUCCCCUCGCCGGCCCGCGGCGGUCGGGAGCUGGCGCCCUCUGCCGGGCCACCGCGCCGGAGCACCCGGGACCCCGGGGACGGGCGGCCAGGCAGGGACGGCGCCCCCGCCGAGGUCACCUGCUGCCAGCCCGGCCUGCGGCCAGGUCCGGGCCGAGGGACCCAGCUGUGCCAACGCCCGGGCCCCGCGCCCCCCAGGAAGGCGCCAAGGAGGCCGGCAGCCCGGGCGCACCCGGCUUUCCAGCUUAACGUGUCCGUGUGGGAAGGCUGUCACGAAGCCACUGAGCUGCCCAGGCUGGGCUUGAACUUGCCGUCGUCCUGCCUCAGCCUCCCAGGGUGCUGAGAUCACAGCCUGGGCCGCCACGCCCGACAAGGGGGAACGACACCUUCUGACUUCUUCUAACUCAGAGCCAAGCCUCCCCCGACACGCCAGUCGGGGGCUACCGAUUGUCACGGCACUGCAGACCCCCUGUGUCCACAGCUGCGUUCUUCCCCGUCUGAGUGGACAGCACAGACAGCGACGGUGCUGCCUGCCGGGCCCAUAGGAAGCACAGAGCCCUGCGGUCCUGCUGUCCUUAACCUCCGGGAGGCCCUGGGCGCUUCUGGGCGGAUCCCGCGCCUACUGCCUCGCCCCGCCCCGCCUGGGCCCCCUCUCGGCCAGGCCACAGGGGCGCCCGGCGCGCUGCCCCCCCCCCCACACCCUUGGAACCUUCUCGGGCUGGAGGGAAGGUGUCAGGGCCCACCUUCCUCUCCACAGCGCCCACAGGCCCCCAGUCACGGCCUCCUGGGGCGGGCGGCUUCCGUGUCCCCACUGUGCUGUGAACGCGGGACAACACCCUGCUUUUUGUAAGUUUGAAGUCUAGAUUGAAGGUGAAGCUACAGAAAGCUUCAUACAUGUAGAUGCGCUGUGUGUAUGUUGUGUAUAUAUGAGCGUGUGUGUGCACACUAACAUUAGCUUUAAGGGACAGCUGCAUUUGUAGAAGUUCAGAGGAUUUGGCCAAACUUCCCAUUUGUUUGCAAAUACCUUACUUGGAGCAAUUUUCAUGUUUCUGAUAAUAUUUCUGUGAGCGCUCUGCCUGAAGUUACCUCUUGUUUGAGUCAUGGGUUCGUCUUUCAGAAACUCCAAUUAGCUUCUCCUAUACCCAAAGUAGCCAGGGUUCUUUAGACAUCGCUUUCAAACUGCUGGGCCCGAAGUCAAUAUUGUGGGUAAGGAUCAUCAUCUUAUCUUAUUUUUUCUUUAUGCGAUAGAAUUAAAGACUAAAGCACAUCUACAGGCUUAGUGGAUUGUUUUCAUGGGGCAUCUGUUUCAGUCCACCGUGUUUGGGUGUGGGAGGGAGUGAGUGCGUGCACAUGAGUAGUUACAGUGCCAUCAAAUGGGUUCCUUCCUGUGGUCCUGAAGCAACUGCCUCGGGCAGCGCUGGAGCUGAUCUGCUUUCCGCAGAGCCAGGUGGAGGCCUCUGAACAGAGGCACUGGCAGAGCAGCCAGUGCCAUGCGGCUCCCUCUGCAGAGGGCGGGUGCCCCGACAUGCUUCUGUGCACAGGAGAGCUGCGGAGACCUGGUGGGAACAAAAAGUGAGACGGCACGGGCGGUGAGGGAGCCCAGGUUUGCUGCCAGGCAGAGCCAGCCUUCCCGGAGGGUCCCAAACCUGCCAGAGGUGCAGCACUGUGGGUUUCCUAGCCCAGGCUCAUCGCCAGUGUCCCAAGGCUGAGUGUGUUACUGUACUCCUGAGGUGCAAUGCUGAGGUGAAAUGCCACUUCCUGUGACAGGCGAAGGUGGCAGCAGCGCCCAGGCAAGGUGUGCCGCGGACAGGCUGAGCUUUCUCAGCUCCAGAGGGCGCGAGGCUCCAGGCCUGUUGACAGAAGCAGGAAGGAGACACGAUUGUGUGACCGAGGAAAAUUGGGAGCAGCGCUUAGAACACUGAGCUUGGAAGUCACGCCCAGCGUUUCCAGCCCCGUGGAAGGCCUGUGAGGAGGAACCGCAUCCAGCCCACAGAGUCGGGGAGGCAGUGAGAAGCAGCGCCUGUAAAGGACAGGCCAGUGCUGCGCUUCCAUCCCCAGUGUUGGAGCAGAACGAUCACUCGCAGUAUUGACCAGCUGGUUGGACUGGUAGCAGCUUGUGUAGGCUGACUGAAGAGACCACCUAAUGGAGAUUGUUGCUGUUGCUGCUGCUGUG
Long non-coding RNA from Heterocephalus glaber (naked mole-rat), 2819 nucleotides. The record is from Ensembl. Lineage: Eukaryota; Metazoa; Chordata; Mammalia; Rodentia; Bathyergidae.